GGAGCUGGAGCCGGAGCUGAAGCCUGAGCCGGGCUGGAGUCGGGGCGGGGGCCGGGCCGGAGCGGGCUCCAGAGACAUGGGGUCGACCGACUCCAAGCUGAACUUCCGGAAGGCGGUGAUCCAGCUCACCACCAAGACGCAGCCCGUGGAAGCCACCGAUGAUGCCUUUUGGGACCAGUUCUGGGCCGACACAGCCACCUCGGUGCAGGAUGUGUUUGCACUGGUGCCGGCAGCAGAGAUCCGGGCCGUGCGGGAAGAGUCACCCUCCAACUUGGCCACCCUGUGCUACAAGGCCGUUGAGAAGCUGGUGCAGGGAGCCGAGAGUGGCUGCCACUCGGAGAAGGAGAAGCAGAUCGUCCUGAACUGCAGCCGGCUGCUCACCCGCGUGCUCCCCUACAUCUUUGAGGACCCUGACUGGAGGGGCUUCUUCUGGUCCACAGUGCCCGGGGCAGGGCGAGGAGGGGUCUGUGGGCCUGGCCAGGGCUGGGUGGGAGGCAGAGUUGGCGUCACAGGGAGAACGCCCUUUAGGGCCGGCCAUGCUCCUCCAAGCCUCUUCUGGGAUUUGGGAAAUACAGGGGUGGGGCCGGUGGGUGCUGCUGAGGGAUGGUGUUCAACGCCACCUCCUUGGGCCCUCAGUUCCCCUCCCAUGGGGGUUUCUGUGCCCACAGUCCAGAGGAAGUAGGGUGUGGAGAGAA
RNAcentral lists this small RNA (695 nucleotides) under Pongo abelii (Sumatran orangutan). RNAcentral's name for it is "retained intron". The record is from RNAcentral. Lineage: Eukaryota; Metazoa; Chordata; Mammalia; Primates; Hominidae.